GCUGGAGUAGCUCAGGUGGUAGAGCAACUGUUUCGUAAAUAGUAGGUCGAGAGUUCGAAUCUCUCCUCCAGCU
This 73-nucleotide transfer RNA is filed under the name Candidatus Dojkabacteria bacterium. Its description in RNAcentral is "tRNA-Thr". It matches the Rfam family "tRNA". Rfam says of the family: Transfer RNA (tRNA) molecules are approximately 80 nucleotides in length. The record is from RNAcentral.